UGCCAGCAGCCGCGGUAAUACAUAAGUCCCAAGCGUUACCCGGAAUUAUUGGGUGUAAAGGGUCCGUAGGCGGGCCUACAAGUCAGGUAUGAAAGACCAGAGCUCAACUCUGUGUUUGUGCUUGAAACUGUAGGCCUAGAAUCAGGGAGAGGUUAGCGGAAUUCUUAGUGUAGGGGUGCAAUCCGUAGAUACUAAGAAGAACACCAAAAGCGAAGGCAGCUAACUGGAACUCGAUUGACGCUGAGGGACGAAAGCGUGGGGAGCGAAGAGGAUUAGAUA
Molecule: ribosomal RNA, 279 nt
Filed under: uncultured bacterium
Lineage: Bacteria
Description: partial 16S ribosomal RNA
Rfam family: Bacterial small subunit ribosomal RNA
Source: RNAcentral